ACGAUGGCCACGCUCUCGUCACUCCUGCUGACCCUGGUAGUUCUGACGUUAAUUCCGGUCUGCUACGGGCAAGACUGUGACCUGACAUCAAGGACUAAAUGUGGAGAUGAAUGUCACUGUGUGGACAGGACGAUGUGUGGAACAGCAGGCUUUUGUGAGGGAGGCUGUCAGGACGGAUGGACAAGCAGUGACUGUCAGCAAGUGUGUAAUGUAAAGAGU
This is a long non-coding RNA of Liolophura sinensis, 219 nucleotides long. RefSeq lists it as uncharacterized. The record is from RefSeq and is a predicted model, not a curated record. NCBI's taxonomy places the organism in Eukaryota, Metazoa, Mollusca, Polyplacophora, Chitonida, Chitonidae. The transcript is spliced from 3 exons.